Molecule: long non-coding RNA, 384 nt
Organism: Lucilia cuprina (Australian sheep blowfly)
Lineage: Eukaryota; Metazoa; Arthropoda; Insecta; Diptera; Calliphoridae
Exons: 2
Source: RefSeq, a predicted model, not a curated record
UCUUCUUGAAGUAUCAGCUAAGUACUAAUCUGAAAAAUGAAGUUUUUUAUUGGUUACCUAAUUCUAUUAUUGAGUCUCAUCUUCUGUGUCAUGGGCAAUCCGCCAAAAAAACUUAAACCGCCUUGUGCAGGAAAUAUUCUACAGUGUGCAAUAGAUUCUAUAGAAAGCCUUAUUAACUAGUCUUCAAAGUUUUGUUUAGUAAAUAAUUGAAUUCUUCAUCCGGGACUGUGGAACAUCGAUAUCGUAGAGAAGGUUUAUAUAUUUUGUGAAAUAUAUAAAACAGAAUAUAAAAUUCAAGGAAUAAUGUGAAAAACUUUGUAACUAUAACUUCAACAUUAUGAAUAUUUCAGAAUAAAAUAUUAUUGCAUCAUUUAUUAGAAACAA